Small nucleolar RNA from Manis pentadactyla (Chinese pangolin), 148 nucleotides. RefSeq annotates it as small nucleolar RNA SNORA57. The transcript has a single exon. NCBI's taxonomy places the organism in Eukaryota, Metazoa, Chordata, Mammalia, Pholidota, Manidae. The record is from RefSeq and is a predicted model, not a curated record.
CCUCCUUUUCUUGGCGGGGAUUGGGCGUGCGGUCCCACUUCCCGUAAUGUACGGAGGCAAAGGGACGGGCUUCAGCCCCCUCGGCGUUAUGUCUUCGGUGCCGGCGGCUUCCAGUCUGCCGGUUCUAUCCUCACGCGCCGGGACACGG